AAGGAUUUAAGUUAAAAAAACUAUUAACCUUCAAAGUUAAAAAUAGAGAAAUCUAAGCCUUA
This 62-nucleotide transfer RNA is filed under the name Hippodamia undecimnotata. RNAcentral describes it as "tRNA-Trp". The record is from RNAcentral. Lineage: Eukaryota; Metazoa; Arthropoda; Insecta; Coleoptera; Coccinellidae.